GAUGAACGCUGGCGGCGUGCCUAAUACAUGCAAGUCGAGCGAACAGACGAGGAGCUUGCUCCUCUGACGUUAGCGGCGGACGGGUGAGUAACACGUGGAUAACCUACCUAUAAGACUGGGAUAACUUCGGGAAACCGGAGCUAAUACCGGAUAAUAUAUUGAACCGCAUGGUUCAAUAGUGAAAGACGGUUUUGCUGUCACUUAUAGAUGUAUCCGCCCCGCUUUAGCUAGUUGGUAAGUUAACGGCUUACCAAGGCAACGAUGCGUAGCCGACCUGAGAGGGUGCUCGGCCACACUGGAACUGAGACACGGUCCAGACUCCUACGGGAGGCAGCAGUAGGGAAUCUUCCGCAAUGGGCGAAAGCCUGACGGAGCAACGCCGCGUGAGUGAUGAAGGUCUUCGGAUCGUAAAACUCUGUUAUUAGGGAAGAACAAAUGUGUAAGUAACUAUGCACGUCUUGACGGUCCCUAAUCAGAAAGCCACGGCUAACUACGUG
RNAcentral lists this ribosomal RNA (497 nucleotides) under uncultured bacterium. RNAcentral's name for it is "partial 16S ribosomal RNA". It matches the Rfam family "Bacterial small subunit ribosomal RNA", at positions 28 to 507 of the family's 1533-position model. The record is from RNAcentral.